Molecule: unclassified non-coding RNA, 801 nt
Filed under: uncultured fungus
Lineage: Eukaryota; Fungi
Description: sequence contains 18S rRNA gene, ITS1, 5.8S rRNA gene, ITS2, 28S rRNA gene
Source: RNAcentral
CGAUGGCUGAUUACCAGGCGCAGUUCGAUGCCGCAAAGAAGGCGCGCGAACUGGCCAUUCGUGCCGGGCAACUCGUAACCACCGUGGACGACCUCACCCAGCAGGUGACCAACGCCGAGACGCAGGCGCGCAAGGCGGGCAUGGCCAACAUCGAUCAGGUACUGGAACAGGCCGGUACCGCGAAGGCGCAACUACUCGCGCUCAUGGACAAACUCCGGCGCCCGCAGCCAGCGAUGGGUUAUCGCAUGUAUCCGCGACUGACUGAGGACGUGGGCUCCACGCUCGGUGGCAUCGCGGGCCCGCAAGCCAGGCCGACGUCUGGACAGCUGACCGUGCUUGGCGAGCUUGAAGCCGACGCCAUCGCGCGGCAGCAGGAACUCAACAAGGUUAUCGACGGUGCCAUAGCAGCGUUGAACAAGAUGCUCGGUGAUCAGCCGAAGGUGAUCGUUCCGAAACAAGGAGGUGGACGAUGAAGAUGAAAACGGGAGCCUUGAUCGUAGCCGCGAUUGCACUGAUCGCGCCUGGAAGUGGCCGCGGCCUCUCGGCCCAGGGGAGCGUGAAGUACGUGAAGUACGAGUCUGCUGGCCGCACGGCUUGGGGGAUUCUGGAGGACGACACCACGAUCCGGGAAACUCUCCGGUUCACCAAUUUCCACGAAGGCGACGCCGAGUGGGAGAGUCGUGAAGAUGGCGGAUGUGCGGCUGCUGCCCCCGGCAGAGCCGACGAAGGUGAUUGCCGCCGGCCUCAACUACAAGAGCCACAUCGGAGAAGCGUCGGCGGCGAAGUAUGUGGGCCUUUUCG